RNAcentral lists this ribosomal RNA (155 nucleotides) under uncultured prokaryote. RNAcentral describes it as "partial 16S ribosomal RNA". It matches the Rfam family "Bacterial small subunit ribosomal RNA", at positions 340 to 500 of the family's 1533-position model. The record is from RNAcentral.
UACGGGGUGCAGCAGUAGGGAAUCUUCCACAAUGGGCGAAAGCCUGAUGGAGCAACGCCGCGUGAGUGAAGAAGGUUUUUGGAUCGUAAAACUCUGUUGUAAGGGAAGAAGCAAGUACAGUAGUAACCUGGACUGUACCCUGACGUACCUAUAAA